This is a long non-coding RNA of Gallus gallus (chicken), 7001 nucleotides long. RefSeq lists it as uncharacterized. Lineage: Eukaryota; Metazoa; Chordata; Aves; Galliformes; Phasianidae. The record is from RefSeq and is a predicted model, not a curated record. The transcript has 2 exons.
ACCACAGUUGCUGGGCUCGAGCAGGCGGUGGUUGUGCGAGAAACGUGGGUGUCCCACCCCCGGAGGCGCUCAAGGUCAGGUUGGAUGAGUCUCAGGUCCCCUCCAGCCCAACCAUUCUGUGCUAUGACCGUAAGAGCAGCAGCAGGAGGGCGGCUCCCAGGAAAGGGUAAACCACAGCCACGGAAGUAUUGAUGCGACUAAACUUAGAAAAGCUAAAAGAGAACAUUUUGUAGGCUGCAGAGGAGCCGUGAGGAAAGAAAUCAUCUGCUGUUUGCAUCUUCCUGCAUUCAGGGAAACGGGAGCACGUUCCUUUUUCAUGAAUAACUAAAACCACAGGAGAAAAAGAAGUGCUUUGAUUUCUGGGUCUAGCAGGGGCCCACAUUUUAAACUGUUCAACCAAUAAUUGGUUCUGCUGACAUUUCUUAUUCGAAGUGCUGACGGUGCUGUGAAGCAGGCAGGCAGAGCAGCUCUAGGAGCAGGAAUGUGGGGAGGCUGCUGACCCAAGGCCUGCAACCAUACUGCUCUACCAACCUCCUCACACCCACGCGACUGCCGCAGGCCUUCAUCUGGUCAAAAUAAAAAUAAUAAGUAGCUCUCGUGCUUUUAGAUCUCUCUCUGGUGGCUGCCCCGUGAACCUUGGACUCGUAUUCCCUCAGAGGCAAAGCUGCACCUUGAUGAUUUGCUUUUGAAUUUGUGCCAUCUCCUGUGGUUUACAAGCAGGACCAGCUCAGCCUGAGCAAGGAGCAUAUACAGGCUACUUUCUCUGCAUGCUGUUUUGUCUGGAGCAGCUGCUUGAGGAGUGCUGAGUGCACUUCUCCUGCUUCCCUGCCCCAUAGCUGUACUGGGGGGAGAAGGGCCCAUGUGGCUGCUCUGUUGGACAGGUUGCACGGGAGCUGUGCUGAGGGCAGCAGACACUCCAAAGGCUCCUUGGAGACCAGGGGAGCUCUUUGCAAAGGAUAUUUCUGUUUUGCUUCAUUGUACACCUUCAUAAUGCAGUUCAGAAGAUGGGAGGAAACCUGAAAGCCACCUGCCAGCUCUGUUAUUUUCAGCACUGGUUCAGUUGGGAAGGCUUUUUAUAGCCUCCAGCCUUUAUCAGGGACCCAUUUAUCAGUACUCCUCUAGGGACCAUUGCUUCAUGAGCUUCCACCAUUCCUCCUCUGAUCUCUUAACACCCAGCUUCAGCCUCACACUGAAAAGAAAAAGGAAGCAUUCACCUCCAGAUCUCUUCCCUGGGGAGUCCACAAGCAGUAGACUGCAUUUUGCCUCAGCCUUAUCAAAACAAACAAACAGAACAACAACAACAUUCCCACUAUCGUGGUGGUCCCUUGAUCUUCUUAGUGAUGGCCCCAGGACUGUAAAGGUCAGAUAGCACUGCUUGCUAAGAGGAUCUGGCAGCAUCAGGGAGGAUAAGAAAAUACACAGCUGAGAACAAAUCAAAGGGAUAAUAAAACAGUUCUGAACAAACCAAGGGGGUGUGCUGAGCUCCUCUUUUUAGACAGCAGUAACAGAAAAGUUAAAGGUUAUUAUGAUUAUGCUAGUUUUUUUUUUCUUUGUGUUUAGCAUGAUGUGGUCUGGAAGGUAAAUGCUUAGACAUGAAAGGUUUUCUGAAUGAGGUUAAAUUAUAAUAUCAUUGUUCUUCUUAACGAAGACAAAGCAUUGUCUUCAAGGUAAAUGUUUAAUUACUUUUAAAAAAAUGGUAAUAAGGCAAAAAAGCUCAGUCUGUGUGUACAAGAACAGUUCCAGACAUCAGCAAAACAGUCAUAGGGCUUGGUGCUGGAGGAGCUAGGGGAGUACAGUGUAAUUACAGGAGAGAUAGAGGUCCUGGUGCGGUUUGGUUCUGGAUUUUAGCAGGGCUAGAAGAAAUAAUUUUGAGAAAAAUCGCUCUUUAUGGCCAUAAGAAAACAGAGAAUAUAAUAUCUACUGCUGCACAAAGCGAUAGGUGACACUGAAGGCAAAAGUUUGGCAAAGUGAUUCUGCUUGAGCCUCCUGCCUGUCUUUUAAAGUAGGCUUGGUUUCUCUCCCUCUUCUUACUGUAGGAAAUGGCCCCUCUCUGGCUACAGGAGGGGUUGGGACACCUCUCUUAGGCUGGAACAGCACUCGUCCAUAGCCAGAAAGCCUUCUUCAACUCCGAAGAGCUACUAAACUGUGUUUUUUUAGGUAUCAGAUCAAUGACAGGUUAGAACAGGCAGAUGGAAGAGAGGCUCUGUAUUGCCAGUGGAUAGUUUGAGCUAACAUGGAUAGUUUUGCAAAAAAACAGAGGGAAACAAACAAAAACACCACCACCACCUCCUAACCUCAAACCUCACCUGCAUACAGCGAGGGCUGGCGUCUAUUUAAACACUUAGCCAUGUAGGCUGCCAGGCCUGCAGCAGUUCUCAUCGCUUUGUCUAGUUGUGAUCAGGAAAGGGAGAAUCUGUACAGUCAAACUGGCAGAUGUGUUAUGCACACAAUAGCCCCAAACUUCCCUGAAGUGGGGCUCAUCUGCACGUGGUGAAAAUAAGCACAGCAAUCCCUGAAGGCCUCUAAUGACUCAGAAGAGAAGAAAUCCAUCUGGUAUUGAUUAUUCCAAGGUUUUAAAAGGCAAGCAGUGAGGACACAAGGCUCCUGAGAAGCCUAGAUAAUUAGAAACUUCGUUACCUGCUCUGUGAAUGGGAAUUGCAGAUGCACAAUGUAUGUAGUAGAGUGCUAGUGGAGCCUGCUGUUACCUGAAGGCGCAAAGCACAACAGCACUGUUGUUAGGUUAGACCAUGUAAUGAUGCAUUGCUGGGGUUGGGUUGGUAGGAGCUAUUCUAAAAGACACCAGAAGGGCUACGUUGUAAUAAUAACAUGACCACAGCAAUGCCACCACAGCAGUACAGAUACACACCCAGAUGCGUUCAGCCAACAGCACGAGUUCCCUCCAAUGAGGCAUGGAGUACCAGCCUACGCAUGGUACAAGAAAACCAAUGCAUAAAGUAGCUGAUAAAGAUGGAGUAAGAUACUUUAAAUGCACGGUGCUUUGCAGCUGCCUUCCUCCACCUCCCCCUCCAAAUGACCCUGUUGACAUCUGUUGAUCGUCUUGUGCUGCCAAGGAGCAGGCUGGCAGGCUGAAAGUAAGGAAGGAAAUUCAUUAUUUCACAGCAGGACCUGCUCAGAGUCACUGUCACACAUUACAGAUGUUGGGCAGAAGCAUCCAGAGCUCUCAUGGGUUUUGGGGUAGCCUGAUGUUCUGUGUCCUGAGCUUUGCUCUGAGGAUGCUAUAUUUUUAAACUUGUUUGCAGCUAUCUCUGUAACUGCUAUGUCAGGUAGGAAGUAAAAAGAUGCAAUUCAGAGCUCAGCAGGAAUGCACCUCCUUAUGCAAUCUGGGUAAUGAGACACGAGAACGCCUGUAACUGAAGAGUUCUGCUCCAGCCUCUGCUGCCUCUUCAUUAGCCCUGGUCCCAACAGACCGUGCCCUCGUUUUCAGAGCAUAAAAAGCAGAACUGGAAAGGCACACAGCAUCAAGGGCAGAGGGAAACAACCGUGAAAUACAAUGAGCUGCACUAGCUAAGAUUCUCCCAUCAUAGUUGUAAAGCAACUUGUGUGCUUACCCUAUUUCGGACCUAUUUGAAGUCCUUCAAUAGCUGUUAUAGAAUCUCUUCCCAUUCUCCCAUCACAUCCCAUAGGCAUCAGGUCAGCACAAUACAUAAACGCGAGGCCACAGCAGAGCAAGCAACUCAAUUCUGCCAAUCCCCCCAUAACUCAGUCUCAAUUUAUACAAUGCCAGCUGUCAGUUGGAUCACAGUGUUACAACCAACAUGAAAAAAAAGCAAGGCCCACCUGCAAUAUCACCCUCAAAAGGAGAGGUUUGGCCCUCUCAGUGCUGUUUGUGGCCAGGGACAGUCACAUCUUGCUGGUUAACCCCCACCUGCUGCCCAGGCACCCAGCAGAGGCACUCCCAGGUACCUGAGGACACAGCCUUUGGGCUUCAUUUAAUUACUCUGAGCAAUGAGAAUAUGAGCUCAGAGAAACUCUGAGUCAAUAAGCUCCACCUACAGAUUAGGGAGAACCUCCUGCUGGAUCCUAUGCCUAAUGCUGCACAGCUGGGAGGCGAGCUGGAGAACUGAUGGCUGUAAGUUGCUGUCUGGUAGCAGAGGUCAGGGCUCAGAAUUUCGGUAUGCCCCUGUAUGCUCAACAUGAAAUGAAUAGUUCUGACUCCUGCUGGACCCAGGGCCUUAAUAAAUCUAUGUGAGAGUGGACCGGGUUAUCUUCUGGCUCACGCAUCAAUCACAAAAUUACAGGUUUCUGUUUAAGGCCAUUUAAGAGUCCCGUGAUUCCAUAGCAGACAUAAAGGAAAGAGCGUGAUUUUAAAACAUGAGCCAGAUCUGCAGGUCUGUCAUAUUUUCUGCAUCGUUCUGCCUUCUUUAACCACCCACCUUGCCUUUUUGUUUUGUGUUUUAAACAUGCAUACCAAACCAAUUUGAUGUGGAAGUCCCUGACAGACGCUACACCAAGUUCCUGUAACAGCAUUCGCUCGACAUCACCUCGAUGAUAACCAUCUUCAAAACCUGAAAGCUGUCUCGUCUGAGCCUGCUCCUUUUCCUGCUUACAUGACACUUCCUUACAGGUAAAUCAAAACAGGAAAAGAACCCCAACACAUUCUCUGGUUUCUCUUGGUGAUCCACGACCACUCGUUGGCACAUCAGCUGUUCUUCUGCAGAGGUUACGUGAUAAGUAACAUUCUGUGUGCCGAAAGAUUGCCUAAUUCAAUGGUAAUUUGCAUGUUCUGCUCUGCAAAUAUAUCAUCCUUGAAUUGCAGCCUCCUCUGGGGAAAAAUGCAGGAAAUUAUGACCCAGGAAUGUGCUGCACACCACUGGGAAAUGAGACAUAAAAAGCAAAUUGCCGAACACGAGAAGUGUCACACACAGACAGAGCUUUGGUUUAAGGUCUUGUUGUUAUGCACGCGAACACUUAUUAAGUCUUGAUUCUUUGCCUGAGAUUUCUAAGCAUGUAAACACAGUUUACUACCACAGUUUCAAUUAUAACAACACGUGAGCUUAGAGGAAGGCCAUCAGUGCUAUUGGUGGGCCUUUUCUCCCAAAUAAGAUGUAGGGAUCUUUGAGGAGCAGAAAGCUAGAACUGCUUCGGGUCAGCAGUCAUCCAGGGGACUCAGAUGUAGAGACAGCAUCCAAAAAAUGACUGGGCACAGUUUCACACUGACGGGCUUUUAAACAUCAGCUCUGUUGGAGUUGCUUUCCGGGGAUAGCAAUAAGAAUUCUGCAAGAAGAGAACACACAGGAUCGACUCUGGUUGCAAUCUAGCAGGCAGGUUCCCAACAGAGCCAGCUGAGCAAUCCUUCCCCUCCCCAUGUACUUUCCCUGCUCACUUUCAGGCAGAAUGAACAUCAGCUGAACUUGAUGGAAAUUCUCUAGUUUUACAUGAUUUAACCAGAAGGCUCCAACGCAGCUGAGAAAAACUCACGUGAAGUGAGGAUGGUGAGAGCAAGGCUGAAUUCCCAGCUCUUUGUGUAAUGAAGCAUGCUGGCAAUUAUUAGAUUUAGAUCUUUCUGUAAGGGGAAUAUUGAUGGAGAAAGUGCUGUGUAUACAGUUGUUUAUUUGAAAAACUAAUCCACAAAAAAAAAAUCUAUUAAAACCCUGCACCUCUGGGACUGUCUUUGAAAGGCAUGUGAUGUGAUGUGACUCAAGUAGAGAAGUGAUCAGCCUGCAAUAAUUUAGAUGUUCCUGUUGCUAUGGAUACUUUUUAUAUAUAUAUUUUUAAGUGAAGCAUACCAUUAUAAUUGAAAUUUCCACUAACAACAACAAAAAAAAGCAGCUUACUGAAAGUAAUAAAAACCCAGUGACAAAAUUGUUUUAUUUUUUACUGUCAAGUUUUAUGCUCGUGCUGUGACAGCACACAGAAGUGAUACAUUUGCCACAGCUGAGGUUUAAUGCUUUUACACUUCUUUUUGUGCGUUGCUCCGACUGGGGCUCACACUAUGAGCGUGCAAUGCAGGCAAUAGCCGAGUGACAGGCCUGCUGCUGCAAUGUCACAUUAGAAUUCACACUGCUCAACAGGAGGAGGGUUUUGUUUGAGGCAAGACCCGAGAAGAAGCAAGUUUGGGGGCUGGUGAGGCUGUUAGGAAUACGAAAACACAAUAGUAUGAGUCAAAUAGCUCCUGCAAAGUAUCCCUGCAAAGAAAAGGGCUUGGAGUGGCAUGAACAGAAAUAGGAUUAUUAGCAGCCACGCCAGCAACUGCCCCUGUGAUUUGCAGGGAGAGGGCAUUUCUCUGCUGAUUGCAGGCAGUGACAAAACUUCAUCCCAGGAUCAUCCUUUCACACUGCUUGAGACUGGAGUUUUUGUUGGGGAUGAAACUGCUGAUAGCAAUGGCUGGAAAGAGAAACGACCCUCAGAAGCAGAGUGGGAGAUCUGCAUUUCAGUUUGCAGAGUGGCUGAGAGCCCCAAGGGGACAGCAUCAGCCAGAGCUCAUUUCAAAGGAACAAACAGCCACAUCCAGCAGCAAAGUACGCUAUUUGAUGUGUAACCACCGACACGUUUUUCUGCAUGGAUGGCCCUGCAAACAACCUCCUCUUCUCCAGUUGUUUCCAGUUGCUUACUGCUAUGCACCAAGGGAGAAAGAAAACCCGACCAGGUAGAAAUACAAAGUUUUCUAUGCAUUGAAGAUGCCGUGGUAAGAAGUAAAGUCAAACCAGCACAAACACUCCAAAAAGAAAAAAAAAGGUAGAACUUUUAUUUUUCUCCAUACAUUCUUUCUUUUCCUUAAAAAAUAUCUACAUACAUAUAUAGCAUUGUGUGUAUCAGCAUAUGCUCCUCGUAUCUCUAGAAAAGAAGAAAUAUCAUUGUACAGAGAAAGCCUCGCAGUCCAUGCCUGCAAUACAGUUUCUUUCUUAGAGAGAUGAGCAGUCCCAGAGCUCAGCACAAAGGCGUUUGCUACCACCACUUCUGUUCCUUUAGCACUGCUUCUGCAAUGGGCCCACGUCCCUACCUCUGCAGAACGGGCAAACUCUGAGCAACUCCUUCAGUCA